Molecule: ribosomal RNA, 436 nt
Filed under: uncultured bacterium
Lineage: Bacteria
Description: partial 16S ribosomal RNA
Rfam family: Bacterial small subunit ribosomal RNA
Source: RNAcentral
GAUGAACGCUGGCGGCAUGCUUAACACAUACAAGUCGGACGGGCAGUGGUGUUUCCAGUGGCUCUCGGGUUAGUAACGCGUAAGAACCUGCCCUUUGGAUAGGCACCCUAGCUGGAAACGACUGCUACUACCCCGUAGGCCUAGUAGCAAAAGGGGGAAUCAGCCCGAUGAGGGGCUUGCGUCUGAUUAGCUAGUUGUUGAUGCAAUAGCUUACCAAGGCGAUGAUCAGUAGCUGGUCAGAGAGGAUGAGCAGCCAAACUGGGAGUGAGCCACGACCAAGAAACCUACGGGAGGGAGCAGUGGGGAAUCUGAGGAAAGGGGCGAAAGCGAGACGGAGCAAUGCAGCGUGAAAGUAGAAGACUAAGGGGGAGUGAACUGGUAAUCCAGGAGGAGAAGCAAUGACGGAAUCUGGCAAAUAAGCAUCGGCUAACACUGU